CUACGUGCCAGCAGCCGCGGUAAUACGGAAGGUCCAGGCGUUAUCCGGAUUUAUUGGGUUUAAAGGGAGUGUAGGCGGUUUGUUAAGCGUGUUGUGAAAUUUAGGUGCUCAACAUUUAACUUGCAGCGCGAACUGUCAGACUUGAGUACACGCAACGUAUGCGGAAUUCAUGGUGUAGCGGUGAAAUGCUUAGAUAUCAUGAAGAACUCCGAUUGCGAAGGUAGCAUACGGGAGUGUAACUGACGCUUAAGCUCGAAGGUGCGGGUAUCGAACAGGAUUAGAUACCCUGGUAGUCCGCACAGUAAACGAUGGAUGCCCGCUGUUAGCGCCUGGCGUUAGCGGCUAAGCGAAAGCAUUAAGCAUCCCACCUGGGGAGUACGCCGGCAACGGUGAAACUCAAAGGAAUUGACGGGGGCCCGCACAAGCGGAGGAACAUGUGGUUUAAUUCGAUGAUACGCGAGGAACCUUACCCGGGCUUGAAUUGCAGAGGAAUUAUUUAGAGAUA
RNAcentral lists this ribosomal RNA (505 nucleotides) under uncultured bacterium. Its description in RNAcentral is "bacterial SSU rRNA". It matches the Rfam family "Bacterial small subunit ribosomal RNA", at positions 501 to 1008 of the family's 1533-position model. The record is from RNAcentral.